CAUCUCUUCCAGAGGUGUAUUGGAGGUAGUAUCUGCCCAAUGAGGAAUUUAAUGGCCGCGGUAUUUUGACCGUGCAAAGGUAGCAUAAUCAUUUGUCUUUUAAUUGGAGACUUGAAUGAAUGAUUUGACGAAAUAGAAGCUGUCUUGGGAUGAUGAGUUGAAUUUAAUUUUUGAGUUAAAAAGCUUAAAUGAUGGUAGAGGACGAGAAGACCCUGUAGAGUUUAAUAGUUAUAUGUUGGAAUUUUUGGGUGAGUUAAGGUUUAAGUGUAGAACUAUUUGGUUGGGGUGAUGAUAAAAUAUAUGAAACUUUUAUAGAAGGAGUUAACUGGGAAAAUUGAAGGAAAUUAAUGUGAUCUUGUAGUAUGGAUUAAAAGAAUAAAUUACCUUAGGGAUAACAGCGUAAUUUCAUUUGAGAGUUCAUAUUGAAAAUGAAGUUUGCGACCUCGAUGUUGGAUUAAGAAUAUUGC
RNAcentral lists this ribosomal RNA (467 nucleotides) under Malgasia longipes. RNAcentral describes it as "partial 16S ribosomal RNA". It matches the Rfam family "Bacterial large subunit ribosomal RNA", at positions 1826 to 2550 of the family's 2925-position model. The record is from RNAcentral. Lineage: Eukaryota; Metazoa; Arthropoda; Insecta; Orthoptera; Gryllidae.